UUAAUUGAAACCAAAAAGCGGUAACUUAUUGUUAAUAAGUUUAUUAUAAUUGUUAUUAUCAAUUAAG
RNAcentral lists this transfer RNA (67 nucleotides) under Orthogonalys pulchella. RNAcentral's name for it is "tRNA-Asn". Lineage: Eukaryota; Metazoa; Arthropoda; Insecta; Hymenoptera; Trigonalidae. The record is from RNAcentral.